GAUGAACGCUGGCGGCGUGCUUAACACAUGCAAGUCGAACGGUGAAGGCGGAGCUUGCUCUGCUGGAUCAGUGGCGAACGGGUGAGUAACACGUGAGCAAUCUGCCCCUGACUCUGGGAUAAGCGCUGGAAACGGCGUCUAAUACUGGAUACGAGCUGCGAAGGCAUCUUCAGCAGCUGGAAAGAAUUUCGGUCAGGGAUGAGCUCGCGGCCUAUCAGCUUGUUGGUGAGGUAAUGGCUCACCAAGGCGUCGACGGGUAGCCGGCCUGAGAGGGUGACCGGCCACACUGGGACUGAGGCACGGCCCAGACUCCUACGGGAGGCAGCAGUGGGGAAUAUUGCACAAUGGGCGGAAGCCUGAUGCAGCAACGCCGCGUGGGGGACGACGGCCUUCGGGUUGUAAACCUCUUUUAGCAGGGAAGAAGCGAAAGUGACGGUACCUGCAGAAAAAGCGCCGGCUAGCUACGUG
This 468-nucleotide ribosomal RNA is filed under the name uncultured bacterium. RNAcentral describes it as "partial 16S ribosomal RNA". It matches the Rfam family "Bacterial small subunit ribosomal RNA", at positions 28 to 507 of the family's 1533-position model. The record is from RNAcentral.